This 845-nucleotide ribosomal RNA is filed under the name uncultured Latescibacterota bacterium. RNAcentral's name for it is "bacterial SSU rRNA". It matches the Rfam family "Bacterial small subunit ribosomal RNA", at positions 38 to 861 of the family's 1533-position model. Lineage: Bacteria; Pseudomonadati; Candidatus Latescibacterota. The record is from RNAcentral.
UUCGAUUGGAUUAGGCAUGCAAGUCGAACGAGAAAGUCCCGCUUGCGGGAUGAGUAAAGUGGCGAACGGGUGAGUAACGCGUGGGAAACCUGCCCUAGAGUGGGGGAUAACAGCUCUAACGGGCUGCUAAUACCGCAUAACGCGACCGAUCUCAUGUUCGGUCGUUAAAGGAGGCCUCUGUUUCAAGCUUCCGCUUAAGGAUGGUCCCGCGUCCUAUUAGCUUGUUGGUAGGGUAACGGCCUACCAAGGCGACGAUGGGUAGCCGGCCUGAGAGGGUGGUCGGCCACACUGGGACUGAGAUACGGCCCAGACUCCUACGGGAGGCAGCAGUCGAGAGGCUUCGGCAAUAAAAAAAACCCUGACCGAGCGACGCCGCGUGGGUGAUGAAGGUCCUUGGACCGUAAAACCCUGUCAGGUGGGAUGAAAUGCCAUUCGGCCAAUACCCGAGUGGUUUGACAGUACCACCAGAGGAAGCUCCGGCUAACUCCGUGCCAGCAGCCGCGGUAACACGGGGGGAGCAAACGUUGUUCGGAUUCAUUGGGCGUAAAGAGCUCGUAGGCGGCUCCGUAAGUCGGAGGUGAAAUCCCACGGCUCAACCGUGGACACGCCUUUGAAACUACGGAGCUUGAGGCCGGGAGAGGAAAGCGGAAUUCCUGGAGUAGCGGUGAAAUGCGUAGAUAUCAGGAGGAACACCAGUGGCGAAGGCGGCUUUCUGGCCCGGUUCUGACGCUGAGGAGCGAAAGCUAGGGGAGCGAACAGGAUUAGAUACCCUGGUAGUCCUAGCCGUAAACGAUGGGCACUAGGUGUGGGGGGAUCGACCCCCUCCGUGCCGCAGUUAACGCAUU